ACGCAGCAGCACCAAUGACUCAGACACCGGAAGUCAGCGAGCAGCAGAGCAGGCUGCAGAGUCAUUCAUUGAGGAAGUAAGACCUGACUUUAUACCCCCUCCCAAGGUCCCAUUGGCUCAGGCGCUGACUCUGCUGUGUGUCCUUUCCUCAUUGGUGUUUCUGGUCAGGUGUCCCUGUCAGCAUCUCUGGGCAUAGAGUCAGGCUUGGCUCAGGAGGAAGUGCCUGCUGCGCAUGCUCAGGCUGGCUGACCUGGGUACCAGGGGUAGGGCGUGGCUUGGGUUGCUGGCUGCAGUUUCUUCUACAACCGACCUUACCCAAAUUUGCAUGCUGUAUCUUGGGCUUAAGGACAUCUUUUUCUUGGAUAAUUGUUUUGAACCUUGUCUGGUUUUGCUGUCUGACGUCAGGAAUUAUUCCAAAAUCCACGCGGUGAAAGGGGAGGACCAAUACCCGUGUUCGUCAGCUGUCUUCUGAGAUCCACAUGCUGUGACACAGGAACUACCUCUCCCUGGAAAUGAAAUGAAUGUAAUAAAAAAAUAGAAAA
Mesocricetus auratus (golden hamster) is the source of this 542-nucleotide long non-coding RNA. RefSeq lists it as uncharacterized. The transcript is spliced from 2 exons. Lineage: Eukaryota; Metazoa; Chordata; Mammalia; Rodentia; Cricetidae. The record is from RefSeq and is a predicted model, not a curated record.